UCAGCACCUGUUAGGACAAAAUCGAGUGUUAAAAUGUACUAAUAUUGGCAUUAUCACUAGUACAAUUAAAGGCCCAAAAUCAUCUAAGCGCCUUAAUUGGUGCAAUCUAGCUCGGACGCAGACCGACUAACGACGUCGGACAGACAGGUACGUGCAUCGUGGUAUUUAAUUCAUGAUGAUCGUUAGUUUUUCAGAGAGGGACUACUGCUGAUGUUUCGGCUCAGCACACACAGCUGUAGCGGUAUCAGAACACACUGCAGAGAUAAGUUUCGGCGAGACGUGUCGCAUGCGCAGUGCACCAUACUGGCUGGAACAGAACAGUGUGGCUUCAAUUUGCAGCUUCCUGGAAAACAUUUUUCUGAAUUCAGUCACUGUUUCACGUGGUGGAUCAUGGAAACGUCACGUCAGAGCAAUCUGCGUGAUCGUUCCAAUCAAUGUUCGGACCAGUUCGGCGCCCAACUGGUGUAGUACGUAUUAUCCAUGUGCGGCCCGUAAAGAUUGGGGCAAAUUUGUAACGAUUCUAUAGCGAAAGGCGUUGCCGUACGGGUCGUUCCUAUAAGAUUUACUUGAUCCCGUGCCAAAUCAUCAGAACCCGUGCUCCCACGGGUUAAUAUUCUUACAAUCUAUUGAAUUUAAAAAUUAUUUAUAAAUUAAACUCCAAGCUAAUAAUUAAAAUUGUUUACCUCCUAUUGUCUCAUUUUUUAAUACUUCCACGUAACACUCAUAUAGAUGGGCACUUAUCUUUAUCUAAUAAUGAUUGAUUUUUAAUUAGUAAUUACUCUAUACACAUUUUCAUCCACAUUCAUUUUUUUUUAUUUUAUAUCACACCUCCAUACAUUGUGUUUAGUAUAUAAUCAAUACUUUUCAUCACUCUCUCACAUACAUGUAUAAAUGGUCUACAUGGUGACACUCAUCAUACGUAUAUACCUUAACUUAGUAUUUCUAUAUUAAUAAUGAUAUAAAUAGGUAAUUUAGAAUCAUAUAUUAGUUUACUUUUGGAUAUUUCUGUAUGAUGCACAUGAAGAUAAUUAGAUUAAGACUUGGAUAUUUAAUUUAGGUUAUUUUUAAUAACAACAUACGUGGGUAACUUACAAAUUUAGAAUGGCAUUUUAAGUUAUGCUUUAUAAUGAUAUGCGUGAGUAAAUUGGAUGAUGAUUAUGGGAUUACUUUAGAUUAUUUUUUAUAAUUGCAAAGCUCAGUAAUUUAGAUAUAGGUUUUGGGUUAUUUUAGAAUACUUUCAUAAUGAUAGUGGUGGGUAAUUUUUUAGAAAAUAUAAUAUACCAAUGACUACAAUUAUUAGAGUUUACAUGAUUGAUGUUUAAUUUUGAUGUUUCUGAUAUUUGUGAGAAUUUCUAGGAUUUGUCUUUUUUUUUCUAACAUGUCUCGUGAGAACUAAUGCGGAGUCUCCAAUAGAAAACAAUGAGGUCAUAUUGCUACAAUACUAUUACCUUGAGUUACCUCUCAUUUGUUAAAUAUUCAAACACAAUACAUAUACAAAUAUAUGCUUAUUAUCUUCAUCCCAAUUGUGAUAGAUUUGAAUUAGUAGUUACUCUAUAAUAUUUUCAUCCACAUUUAUUAUCUUAAACUUUUCACUUUGUAUCGCAAGUAUGCGCUUGAAUUUGUUUAAUGUACCCUAAAUUUGAGCUAUAGUUUUAACAUAGAAAUCUAUUUUCUCAUCACUGACUCUAUAUCUUUAUAAAUGAUACCACACACAUCAUGCGUAUAUACCUUAAUUGUUAUAUCAUAUACCAAUAGUGUAAGAAAUAGACGAUUUAGAAUCAUAUAUUAGUGUAUAUUUUUAAUGAAGGCGAUUUGGAUUGAAAUUUAGGGAUGCCUCAUGUUAUUUUUAAUAAUGACAUAUGUGGGUAAUAUAGAUGUAAGUUUAAGGUGUUACUUUAAGUUAUUUUUUUUAGUAUUAGUGGUGCCAAUUUAGUUGCAAAUUAAGAGGGUUAUUCUAAAUUUUUUUUAUAAUAGCAUAAAUGGGUAAUUUUGAUGAACAUCGGGGUUACUUUAGUUUAUUUUAUAUAACGGUAGAGGUGGGUAAUUUUGAUAUAGAUUUAAGGGGUUACUUUAGGCUAUUUUUAUAAUGGCAUAGGUGGGUAAUUUUUUAGAAAAUAUAAUAGAUCCAAUGGCUAUGAUGAUUUGAAUCUACCGAUUGAUGGCUAGAUGUUUUGUUUUUUUGUGAGAAUUUCUAGAAUUUCUCUCUUUUUCUAGAGUGUCCAUCUAGGAUCUUAGG
RNAcentral lists this long non-coding RNA (2236 nucleotides) under Setaria viridis. RNAcentral's name for it is "long non-coding RNA (SVIR_LNC007376)". The record is from RNAcentral. Lineage: Eukaryota; Viridiplantae; Streptophyta; Magnoliopsida; Poales; Poaceae.